Molecule: non-coding RNA, 1953 nt
Organism: Ictidomys tridecemlineatus (thirteen-lined ground squirrel)
Lineage: Eukaryota; Metazoa; Chordata; Mammalia; Rodentia; Sciuridae
Source: RefSeq, a predicted model, not a curated record
UGGCUAUCUGUCUGUGAGGGGCUCCUGGGCGUGGUAGCCACUUUCGUCCUGAGCGGCUCCCCCCAGCACUAUGAAAAGAUACACACUCCGGGCGGCCACAGUUGGUUUCUCCCACUCACAGACACACCCACCCACACACCCAACCCCUCCUCCGCCGCGCCUGCUCCCUCCCCACGUGUCAGCACCGCUUGGGCCCGCCCUGCGUUCAGCCUAACUCUGCAGUCACCCACCCCAGCGCUGAGGACGCAGGCCACACCGGCCAGCCUGCAGUAUGGAAGUGGGGGCAGGGAAGGGAGGAGGGAAUCGCGAGUGAAGAAGGCACACUUUUAAGGAAGGUGCAAUGGGUCCUGUCUGGUUGUGAUCGAUCUGCUUUCAUUGGUGCCUUGACUCAGAUGGGGCUCCCCUGCCUUUAAGUGGAACCCCCGUCCCACCGGAGAUCACCACCUGAGCGGAGACCACUUCUUCACAUCCACCAUCAGCCUACAAAUGGAUGUUGUCUCAGGAGACAAGGAUAUUCCCAUCCCCCUCAUGGCUCACAUAAACCCCGUCACAAACGAGCCGCCCAACUUAUCCUCUUACUGGCUAUUCUGGAAAUAACGGCAGAACUGGCUACAGGCACAGCAGGGAUGACGACGUCCCUUACCUACUACCACCAGCUGUCUAGCCAAAUCUAUCUUACUCUCGAAGUCAGCUAGAUUCUUACAAAACCACCGCAGCUUACACUUGCUUACAGAGGAGAAGGGAGGACUUUGCCUAUAUCAUUUCAGGAAGAAUGCUGUUUUAUGUUAAUCAGUCAGGAGUGGUAAAAAAUAAGAUCAAACAACUACAAGAGCAAUUAGAGAAAAGGAAACAACAGAGGGCCCAGUCCUCUCUAUGGAAUAUGUCUCCAGGUUCUAUUAUCAGUUGGGUCCUCCCAUUACUUGGCCCUCUAAUUGGGAUUUUGUUUGUUUGUUUGUUUUGUGCCUUUCUAUCCUGUAUCAUAAAAUUCCUACAAAAUCAAAUAGGCAGAAUAUCUAAUCAGACCUUUAACCAGCUUCUCCAGGAUUACCAACUAUUUGCUACCUCAGAAGACACCUAUUCCUCCUGUGAAGGCCUCACCAACUGCUGAUGGAACUUUAUCACUUUGAAUAUGGAGCUACAAAUUGGAAACACAACUGGAGGAACUUCACUAGCCUGUCACCCAGGGUUUCUAGGCCCAUUCGCCCUCGGGUGCCUCCUCCUGACUGCUGGCCUUUUCUCAGCCAGUCCCCCUGCUGGACUUCCUGCCAGAAGCUAAUGUUGUGUCUCCUCUUUCUUCUUCUCGUUGCCUUCGGGUGUCUUCGGUGUCUUUAGGCUCAUCAUGUGGCUCACCCAAUUCGUGGAGUUCACGGAGACCCUCUAACAGGACAGCUGGCUGAUUCCCUCAUUUGCAGUGAUGAGGGUUGGAUGGAGACUAUCCAUGAUCUGUAGCUUCAGGGAAUUUUCAUGGAUUUCAGCCCAGAGGAAAUUUAUGGCUUCGGUGCCUGGGUCUUCACAAUGAUGCUUCUUCUCUCUCUGUUUCCAGACAUCCCUCCCCUCCUUUUUCCACAUCUUCCCACGUCAGCAGGAAGUAGCUAGACUAAGUCAGUGCCCCCAUCCCCAAUUUAAAGCAAAAUAGUGAGGAAUGUUAGGUACCAGGGAGUUUCCAUUUCCCAGGAGAAGCCUUGCCCCUUCCCACUCCACCACCCAUUCCCACCUAGUGACAACCAGGCCAUUGACAACACAGUAUGUCACCCUCCCCACCACCUUCCACCUGCCAAUAGCAGGAUCCCACGAGGAAGCAUUGCCCCUUUGAAUUCUCAGGCCCGAUCAGCUCGUGCCCAUCCUCUAAGGGACCUACCUCACCCAGUGCUGAUGGAGGCACGGCUGCUGUCCCCACUCGAGCAGGUGGGCAGCCGUCUCUUGCUUCCAAUAAAUCUCGUGGUUGAACCUCUA